Molecule: long non-coding RNA, 3618 nt
Filed under: Mus musculus (house mouse)
Lineage: Eukaryota; Metazoa; Chordata; Mammalia; Rodentia; Muridae
Description: long non-coding RNA chr4:33945203-33948821
Source: RNAcentral
UUAAACUCCAUUCCCCAGGGGUUUACAGUGAAGAAAGUCUAUCGCUGCAGUUGCUCGGCGAUCCUUCAAAGUCUCUGAAAUAGAAGGGAAAACGUUGGCUUCCAAAUCUGAAGCCUAACUACCCAUAGAAAACCACCAUGAAAUAAGUAAUGCCUUUGUAACGACAACUUUAAUGAUGCUGUGUCUGUCCAUAGUAUAAAAGGUACAUUUUUACAAUAAGUAUAGUGCUAAAGUAGAGAUACUUUGUAACAUGUUUUCUGUCCUGUUAGUUGUGUGUCAGUGUUUACUGUGUCUUUUUUUUUUUUUUUUUUUUGGUCUAGCUUAGCAAAAACAGAAUAUAGCCCUCAUAAGAGCUAUGGCAUACAGGAGUGGUGAUGUAGCAGGGUGACCCCUGUUUAGAUAGUAUUACUGUUCAUGAGACAAUUUUAGAAACCUUAGUAUUUCUUCCAAUAUCCGUAUCUAAAGUUAAUAUUGAAAUAAGCAUAAAGGUUUAUUUUUCUGUUAAAACCACAAGAAAAAUUUGAAGACUGUUCAAAGUAUUGAGCAGAAUUCAAGGACACUUAAAACUGUGUUAGGCCUGCAUUUUCAUAUGAGGACAUUCCAUAUCUUCUGGACCACAGCUGUUCAGUUGGAUACUGGAUUAUAAUCAGAAUGGAAAAGAGAAAGCACAUUGACUUUUAAAGCUGACAUUCUGACUUCCUGCAGUUGUUGGCUGUAACUAGACCUCUUCAGACAGCAUGUGUCAAUCUUAGUGUACACUGUGACCACUGUGCAGUUGCUGUUUCCUUGACGUGUAUUGCAUUGUUAUGUUCUGGAUUUAAGUAGAUUUCAGGCCUCGAUGGCCAAAAACCAGUUGUCUUCUUCUUGAGAAGAAAUAUUGUCUGACUCAGUAAAAUUGUGUGUGUGAUUGUAAGUGUAUAUGUGUGUGUAUGUGUGUGUGUGUGUGUUUGUGUUACUCUAUCUUGUAACUGUUACAGAAAUGUCCCCCAUGAGGAAACUGACCAAGGGUAAACAGUACCACUUGCUGCGCUCUUGCACAUGAACUUAGCUUCUACAGUUGAGCUCUUCAUGAAAUCCUGUUUAUAAAAAUUCUGACUAAAUCUUUUCAGAAGAAUCUUCCCACCUAGGAGACCGGAUUAAGCAUUCUAAUGCCAUUUAGGUGUUCUGUAAGGCCAGCGUUCAGCAAGAAGUCAUCAGUAAGAGGUGCCAGAAAAUAGAGGAUUCUCCCAGGAAGAGGGGAGUGUGGAGGAUGGUGGGCGCCUACUAAUAAUCAAGUCCAUGGAAAUGGAAAUCAGUAAAGGGGUUGGUUCUAAGACCUAUACCCACACCCCUACAGUAGUAAGUUUCAGUGGUGCAUGUCAGCGGUGCAAUCUCAGGUUAAGUAACAACAUGCCAGCUGGUCCAGGCCAUUUCAUUACAGAGGGUGACAGCCCAGUACCUGGCUCUGUUUGGAAUGAUUGGGCUAAGGAAAAGGUAGUACCUCCUCUACUUGCUGGUAUCAAGAUGUGCCAAAACAUAAAGAUGAGGGUGGCUAGCUUCUGAUGACAUCUCUGCCGUGGUACUCAGAAUUGGGCCCUUUUCCAAUAAAGAGAAGUAUUGCUUUUAGGAAGCCACUCUAUCCCGAUAAGUUCUACAUAGAGUCUCUCCUUGUUCAGGUUUUCACCAGCCCUAAGAACUGCAUGGCAUGAAGUGGGGAGCUAGCAUCUGUUGGUGAUUUCUACCAUUUGGGGUUCCCAGCCUGACAGGGCAGUACCCCUUCUUGCAAUCAGUGUGACCUGAGGGCCAAACUAGGAUAUGUCUAGAUUUGGCCUGCUGCAGUCUCUUGCUUUUCUUCUCUGUGCACAGAGGAGGGCUCCGGAUGCUGGAGUAUUAGUAACUCCUUAGAGAAGGGUAUUGAGAGAAUACCACCAGGGGCUAGGAAUUGUCAGCUUCGUCCUACAUGAACCUGAAUAUCAACCGACAUGUCUCUAGCUACCAGGCAGUACCAUCUCUUCUCACAGCUACAAAGACCUGGUAGGAAAUUCUAGGUAUUUAAAAAAAAAUCCAAGAUUCACUUUUAGAACUGUAUUUGUGUAAAUGCCAUUUUAGUGAUAAGAUUUUAUAGUGUAUUGAACUUUCAAGACCUAACUCAUAUUUAAUAAGCUAAGGGACAAUGGGGCUGAUAGCACUAAACUUGGUGCUUAUUGAUACUCUAAGAAAUAUCUGUGAAAUAUCAUCAUGUGUGCGUUAAGCUACCUUCAUUUAAAAGGACUUAAAAUAAGUUGGAUCCACUUUGGCUUUGACCAUAUCAUUUCCUAACCCUACUGACCAAAACAUUCUCCCUAGUGAGUAUUAGUCAUUAGAAUUGCAUUCAUUAGUAUCAUUAAUUAACUAGGCCCUUAAUUAGAUUCAUUAAUUUAAAUGAUUUUAAUUUGAUCACUUAUGUACUCUGGCAUCAGGGUUAUCUGUUUCCCUCUGACAUGUGUCCUGAACAUGCAUUCUUCAGCCAUUACUCAUCUUAAAAAGGGGCCAAUUCCCAAACUGCUUGACUUCAUCCAAACAAAGACUGGGUCCUAGACUAGCAGUAUCAGUUAAACAAAGAGAGCUGUCCCUAAGAGCCCCUAGUUUUUCAACUAUGUAUUAAGUGCAUGUAAAAAUCAGUGUGCGUCUGGGCAGCGUAGACAUAUGUCUGUGCCAGAUGACUCCAAAGCUGUCGGAUACUGUCAGGUUUAGCUGGUAUCAAAUGCCAAGGAAUUUUUGCUACCUAAAACCAUCUGCAUAAAAUAGGCCCAAUUACCAGAUGAGAACUAGGUCUCUAGUUACCAUUCAGUUCAUUAAUUUCUGCCAUUCCAUACCCAUAAACAGGACCACUAACAUCAUGCACAAAAUUAGAUUCCUCAUACUCUUGACUGUAUAUUUGUAUGAUAUUUUAAAAUCUCCUAAAUGGCCAUUCACAGUUGCUUUGCACUGGCCUUCCAGUAAAAUGUUAACACAGCUAUUGUAAUAUACACAAAGCAUUCUAUCUACUGAUUUGGACUGAAUGUAUGUACAUAGGUUUUACAAAAAAAAAGUCAGAUGUUAAAGCAGUGGUUUACAGAUCAGUGAUUUUCAGAUAGAGUUUCUUUCAGUUGCUGUGGAAUCUUUAAAAAGCACUCUUAGUGUGAACUUACUGAACUCUAGGGGUCCUGCGAUCAGAGUCCCCUAGAGAGGAAACCUUUUCUUGUAAUAAUAUGAACCAAGAUACCAGAUUAUCUUGAGUCUCACUUCCAGUGUUUCAAGUGGAAAACGUAUCUCCUUAUUGUCUCUGUAAAUGGAACAUCCUUACUUUUUUCUCUUAAAGAAUAUUGUACUGUUAGAUGUUUGUUGAACUGGUAGCAUCAUUGAGACUGCUGUGAUGUCUUUGUCAGUAAUCUGUAUAAUAUUUUGUAUACAAGUACUGGUAAUAUUGUUAUUAAAUGUAGCUCGGUCAUUAAAUUACUAUAGCAAAGUAGUACUUCUGUAAUAUUUACAAUGUAUUAAGCCUACAGUAUAUUUUAUUUCAUUGAUGUAAUUUAAUUGUUAUUUAUUCAAGAGAAAGCAGUUCAUCAUGUCUAUUGUCUAAAAUUACCUGGAAUCAAAUAAAAAUUCUAGAUUAUCAUG